UUGCUUUUUUCAAGCCUUUGCUCUGGACACAGAGGGGAGCUGAGUGCUGCUUUGGGGAGGUUUCUUUGCUGUGCUGAUUUUACCUUUGCUGAUUCUCUCAAUGUUUUGCUCUAAGCUUGAUCUGCUCCCAGAGGUCCUGGAAGUAAAACCAGACCCAUAUUCCAGGCCAGAGCUGGAGGAACCCUGGGCUUUGUUGCUGGCGAAGGAGAAAACCAAAUCUGAUGAUAAUUACAGAAUUAUCCAAAUGCUGAUCAUGCCAUGAGGAACCACGUUUCCAUCUCCUGCUUUGCUUGGUGAGGUAACAACAGGACAUUGCUGUCAGCAUUAUCUCCACAGCAUCGCUUGAAAUUAAAGUUGUGUAUAAAAUGUGUUUUCAGUAGGGCACAAUUUGUUACUCAGCCGAAUGUGCAAAUUGAGGUAUUGGGAAGAUGAGGCAUUUCAAUU
RNAcentral lists this long non-coding RNA (444 nucleotides) under Parus major (Great Tit). RNAcentral describes it as "lncRNA (ENSPMJG00000000951.1)". The record is from RNAcentral. Lineage: Eukaryota; Metazoa; Chordata; Aves; Passeriformes; Paridae.